This 331-nucleotide ribosomal RNA is filed under the name Schleiferilactobacillus perolens. Its description in RNAcentral is "bacterial SSU rRNA". It matches the Rfam family "Bacterial small subunit ribosomal RNA", at positions 936 to 1269 of the family's 1533-position model. Lineage: Bacteria; Bacillati; Bacillota; Bacilli; Lactobacillales; Lactobacillaceae. The record is from RNAcentral.
AGCAUGUGGUUUAAUUCGAAGCAACGCGAAGAACCUUACCAGGUCUUGACAUCUUCUGCUAAGCUGAGAGAUCAGCCGUUCCUUCGGGGACAGAAUGACAGGUGGUGCAUGGUUGUCGUCAGCUCGUGUCGUGAGAUGUUCGGUUAAGUCCCGCAACAAGCGCAACCCUUAUUAUUAGUUGCCAUCAUUCAGUUGGGCACUCUAGUCAGACUGCCGGUGACAAACCGGAGGAAGGUGGGGAUGACGUCAAAUCAUCAUGCCCCUUAUGACCUGGGCUACACACGUGCUACAAUGGGUGGUACAACGAGUCGCGAAACCGCGAGGUCAAGCG